CCUUGUUCUCUAUGCCUGUGUCUUGUUUAUCUGUGCUAAAGCCUGGUGUUUCUCCCUUCCUAGGGAAUUAUCCUCAGAGCUACACCAAGCUCUUCGUCUCCAUGUAUAUUCCUGGAUCUGGAUCUCAGGUUUCAAGAACGUCCGCAGCUAAGACAGGCUUCUGGUUUCUCAUCCACGACUGGCAGUCCCAAGGCUCCUUAUUACCUGCUUUCUCUGGAUACAACCCUGUCCUCCCUCUGACGUCCACUUCGUUGCUGCUCUGAACAUCCCCGGCCUCCAUUCAGCAUGCAACCGCCACAUGGAGCUCUCCCCCUGGAUUCCUGCUCCCUCUCCCUAGCAUGAAUCUUCCACCUCCAUCAGUUCUGGAUCAAGACCACCAACCAUUAUUCAUUGUUAUUUCCAUAAGCUGUUUUUAAAACUGCCCCCUGGUUUCAUUCUUGAGAGCAUCUGUGCAUGUGGGUCAGGCAAUUAAAUAUAAUCAUGACAAAUUUGUGCUAUAUUACUCGUACACACAAGUCAAUUUCCUCCUAGUUUUAUUUGGCUAGAAUAAUUCACAUGGAAUGAAACAAUUAUAUCAAGUAGAAUAUUCAUCAUAAUGCUAAAAGCUCAAUCUUCAGGUUAGAUUCGAUCAUUUCUGAAACAUUUUACAGAUGUGAUAGCAAAAUUUAAAAUGCUUCUGUCCUUCUGAGGUGACGAUCUGUCUGACCUGACAAUGGCUUCCAUCUGAAUUCCUUCCUGCUCCCUCCUGAUGGGGAGGGGAAAUGUUUAUCACAGAGGAGCCGAGACGCCUAGGAGAGAAUUAAUUCAAUUUCUCACCUCUGCUCUUCCUGGAGGGGGGGCUGCAUUGGGAUUUUACAAUGCUGAUAUAAGAAGGUGUUUUCCCUUUGUCUGGGCAGAACGGGUUUGGUUCAGUUCAGUAACACAUCUGAUGCUGGAAACCUGUCUCCCUUAUAAGGCUAAAUUAAUAAAGCUGAUUGAAUGGUGA
Long non-coding RNA from Girardinichthys multiradiatus, 985 nucleotides. RefSeq lists it as uncharacterized. The record is from RefSeq and is a predicted model, not a curated record. NCBI's taxonomy places the organism in Eukaryota, Metazoa, Chordata, Actinopteri, Cyprinodontiformes, Goodeidae. The transcript has 2 exons.